This 535-nucleotide long non-coding RNA is filed under the name Homo sapiens (human). Its description in RNAcentral is "HSALNT0338441". The record is from RNAcentral. Lineage: Eukaryota; Metazoa; Chordata; Mammalia; Primates; Hominidae.
CCCAGUUCUAUGCCUGGUGAGAGUGUGACUGAGAAACAACUACAGCACCAGUCCAGGCACAUUCAUCAGAGCAGUGUUUUCCAAAGCUCAAGUCUGAAACCAUUAGUGGUUCAUGUCAUCAAUUUAGUGAGUAGGGCUGGCAAUUUUUUUAAUGGAAUGGAAGAGAUAAUAAUGUAAUAGAUUCUAUACAAUAUGGACUAGAAUAGAAGAAAUUGCAUUUCACAUAGAAUGGAGUCUCCUUCUGUUGCCCAGGCUGGAGUGCAGUGGCAUGAUCUUGGCUCACUGCAACCUCUGCCUCCCGGGUUCAAGCAAUUCUCCUGCCUCAGCCUCCGAAGUAGCUGGGACUACAGGCGUGGGCCACCACACCCGGAUAAUUUUUGUCUUUUUAGUAGAGAUGCGGUUUCACCAGGUUGGCCAGGCUGAUCUCAAACCCCUGACCUCAAGUAAUCCACCCACCUCGGCCUCCCAAAGUGCCAGGAUUACAGGCAGGGGCCACCAUGCCCAGCCAUGUAAUCUUCCUUAAAGGACAUCAGUG